UGAUAUUUAGCAAAAAAAAAAAAAAAAAAAACUAUUUUAUCCCAAAACCCAUGCUUCAAUUUUUGAGAGAUGGGUGGGGUAACAAUCUCGGUUUGGACUUCAUCUCAAUAUCAGUACCUUAGAAGCCACUGUGAGCAGGGUCAAGACUCCAGUCCACAUUUAAAACUGUACAUUGUGGCAGAAUAUAAUAUAGAGAUGUUGCAAUUUUCUUUUCACAAGACCCAUUGAACUCAUAAGUUCCCAUAGUCAGAGGUUUAUAGGGUAAGAAAUCUUUCGGGGGUUACUCCAAUGUGCACACAAAAAGCCAAGGCCACGCCCCUGUGGCAGUGUCAGACCAAUGAGGUGCCUUCUCUUACCACCAUGCCCAUCUUCCACCACACCCUCCAGGAAAUAUUCACGACAUGGGCUCUGACCCUAUGAAUACAGUCAACGAAGCUCAGGAAUCCACAGACUGGGUUGGCAUGAUGCUUUCCUUCGUGUCCAAUCUGCUGUCGCCGGAGGACGAUGAAGGUGACCUGGCCCAUGCGGUGAGGAAAAAAGGAGAAUUCCUUCCAUCCGAGAGAGGUUUGUUUCCUCCGUUCCUUGAUCAUCGUUUCAUCCCAGCUGAAAUGAGGCAAAAUGCAGAAUAACAAACACAGGCAUGAAUAACCUGCAUUUAGAUUAAGCAAUUAACAUGACGAGAGUGGCAUUUUGCAUCAAGCUCCUAGCAUGUGGCCAUUACCAGGCUGGGCAACUCGUGAAGACAGCUCUUUAUUGGGUCAUUGAUAUCCUGAUCAUGUGGCAGCAAAGGCCUCCAGAUGAUUAGUUGUUCAAUCUGCUUCCAGACAACAUCAUCACCCUCACUGAGCUAAUCAAGAUCCACUUGUGCAUUUGCUGUUACUCACUACUGCAGCAUGAAAUGAAAAUUAUAUAUCGCUUCUGAAUGGCAAUUGUGUGGCGAUGAUUAAAAACUACCGCUGUUAAUCUUAGAUAAUGCUAAAUUAAUAGUAACUGCUUUACACUGAUUUAACACAAUUCAAAGGUAAACAAAUAUUGUCACGUAAUUAUAUCUGAGAAUUUUCGCUACUUUUUUGGGGGAUGUUGAAAACAUUAAUUACUGGGAAUACAGUAUAUUUUUAAAGAAAAUUCAUACAAUAACAUUAGGAGAAGAAAAGCACUGACUACUGGUAUAGUAAAUUUUAGUGUAAAGGUGAAUAUUACUCUCAGUAUCUUUUACAUUUAAAUUUACAUUUACAUUUACAUUUAUUCAUUUAGCAGACACUUCUGUCCAAAGCGACGUACAUCUCAGCAAAAGUACAAUUUAUGCAUUACAUUAAGAGAAGGAGACAUAGCUGCAGACAUGAGGGUCUCAAGCAAAUUUAAUUUGUUCCCUACCGCUUGCUGAUAUUAAUGUAUCAAUAUGGUAUGACUUCUCCAUUUAUUGUUAAACUCUGAAGAGCGAACUAUUUAAGUUUCAUUUUUAUUUGUACUUUGGUUUGAUUUUUGUUUUCGAAUUUUGCGUCACUUUCAUGUUGAAUUUUGCUGUGCGUCGGCAAAUUGCUUCUGUCUGCAGGUAGCUUGUGUUCUCCUGAGGUUUGCCUAGCAGGUGGGUUGUCAUAAACAAGCGUGCGUGUUCAGGGCAACACAAUG
This 1629-nucleotide long non-coding RNA is filed under the name Scleropages formosus (Asian bonytongue). RNAcentral describes it as "lncRNA (ENSSFOG00015026022.1)". The record is from RNAcentral. Lineage: Eukaryota; Metazoa; Chordata; Actinopteri; Osteoglossiformes; Osteoglossidae.